GAUCACUAACCCUGGGAGAAGGCAGCUGCCUUGUCUGGAGGCAACUCUACAGAGAGAAGCCAUGUUCAGACAAUAACUACAAGAGCCUUAAGAGGAAGCUUCAGCCACUCCCAACACUUUUGACUUCAACCUCGUAAGACUCUAAGCCAAAAGCUCACACUGGACCAUGGCCAGAAUCCUGACCAGCAAAGACAAAAACUGUGAAAUAAUAAAACGUUCAUUGCUUAGCAGCUAUACUUGGAGGAAAUUGCUAUAUGAUGAUAUAUAACUAAUACAGAUGUUCUAGAAAUAACACAUUUUGGAAGACUGGUAGGUCUUGGAAACCACCAGAAGAUUGGAGAAUUUGACCAGAAGGGACCCAGGCUCCCCUGGUUCUGGCUGUGGCCCCUGCUAGGGUCUAGCCCAUGGAACUGCUCUCUCCUGGUUUGCUUCAUGUUCUGAACAGAAAGAGAUGGAUUGAUCACCUCAGUGAUGACAGAUUGUGUUCCAGGCAUGGUGCAAGAGACUGACAGAUAGAAAAACAUGCACCUUUUUCUGAUUGAGCCAACAGAAUAAGGAGCAAUAUGAAUAAGGAGAUUUCUAACCUUGAAAGUUAUUGGAAUGACAAUGAUUAUAUCCAGAAGUUAAAUACCUCAGAAAGGAGAUACUGUUUUACUACAUUUCGAAAAUUCCUAAUUCUACUUGUGGAUACUGCAUAGACCGUUAACUCAAAAAUUGCUUCAUCCACGGACUGGUGAGCCACACUGAUAUCUUAAGCAAAAAAUAAAUGCUAGCUUCUGAAUAAACAAUUCUCCAUGCGGAAGAUAUAUUAUUUAGAUCUAAGUAAGCUGUUGAGUCUGAACACCUGUUAUCAUAGUUGUGAUUGGUCUCACCUAAGCCAGUGGCCUCAGGAUGAUAAUAGAUCAAGGGACAAAAACAUCAAAAAAAAUAUCCCCAGGAAUUUGUGAGCUACCAC
Canis lupus familiaris (dog) is the source of this 955-nucleotide long non-coding RNA. RefSeq lists it as uncharacterized. The record is from RefSeq and is a predicted model, not a curated record. Lineage: Eukaryota; Metazoa; Chordata; Mammalia; Carnivora; Canidae. The transcript has 5 exons.